RNAcentral lists this ribosomal RNA (468 nucleotides) under uncultured bacterium. Its description in RNAcentral is "partial 16S ribosomal RNA". It matches the Rfam family "Bacterial small subunit ribosomal RNA", at positions 28 to 507 of the family's 1533-position model. The record is from RNAcentral.
GACGAACGCUGGCGGCGUGCUUAACACAUGCAAGUCGAACGGAAAGGCCCUGCUUUUGUGGGGUGCUCGAGUGGCGAACGGGUGAGUAACACGUGAGUAACCUGCCCUUGACUUUGGGAUAACUUCAGGAAACUGGGGCUAAUACCGGAUAGGAGCUCCUGCUGCAUGGUGGGGGUUGGAAAGUUUCGGCGGUUGGGGAUGGACUCGCGGCUUAUCAGCUUGUUGGUGGGGUAGUGGCUUACCAAGGCUUUGACGGGUAGCCGGCCUGAGAGGGUGACCGGCAACAUUGGGAAGGAGAUACGGCCCAGACUCCUACGGGAGGCAGCAGGGGGGAAUAUUGCACAAUGGGCGGAAGCCUGAUGAAGCAACGCCGCGUGCGGGAUGACGGCCUUCGGGUUGUAAACCGCUUUCGCCUGUGACGAAGCGUGAGUGACGGUAAUGGGUAAAGAAGCACCGGCUAACUACGUG